ACGCUGGCGGCAGGCCUAACACAUGCAAGUCGAGCGGUAGAGAGAAGCUUGCUUCUCUUGAGAGCGGCGGACGGGUGAGUAAUGCCUAGGAAUCUGCCUGGUAGUGGGGGAUAACGUUCGGAAACGGACGCUAAUACCGCAUACGUCCUACGGGAGAAAGCAGGGGACCUUCGGGCCUUGCGCUAUCAGAUGAGCCUAGGUCGGAUUAGCUAGUUGGUGGGGUAAUGGCUCACCAAGGCGACGAUCCGUAACUGGUCUGAGAGGAUGAUCAGUCACACUGGAACUGAGACACGGUCCAGACUCCUACGGGAGGCAGCAGUGGGGAAUAUUGGACAAUGGGCGAAAGCCUGAUCCAGCCAUGCCGCGUGUGUGAAGAAGGUCUUCGGAUUGUAAAGCACUUUAAGUUGGGAGGAAGGGCAUUAACCUAAUACGUUAGUGUUUUGACGUUACCGACAGAAUAAGCACCGGCUAACUCUGUGCCAGCAGCCGCGGUAAUACAGAGGGUGCAAGCGUUAAUCGGAAUUACUGGGCGUAAAGCGCGCGUAGGUGGUUUGUUAAGUUGGAUGUGGAAUCCCCGGGCUCAACCUGGGAACUGCAUUCAAAACUGACUGACUAGAGUAUGGUAGAGGGUGGUGGAAUUUCCUGUGUAGCGGUGAAAUGCGUAGAUAUAGGAAGGAACACCAGUGGCGAAGGCGACCACCUGGACUAAUACUGACACUGAGGUGCGAAAGCGUGGGGAGCAAAC
This 745-nucleotide ribosomal RNA is filed under the name uncultured bacterium. RNAcentral's name for it is "bacterial SSU rRNA". It matches the Rfam family "Bacterial small subunit ribosomal RNA", at positions 33 to 773 of the family's 1533-position model. The record is from RNAcentral.